This is a long non-coding RNA of Orcinus orca (killer whale), 299 nucleotides long. RefSeq lists it as uncharacterized. The transcript is spliced from 3 exons. The record is from RefSeq and is a predicted model, not a curated record. Lineage: Eukaryota; Metazoa; Chordata; Mammalia; Artiodactyla; Delphinidae.
AGGAUACAUGUAAUUGCAUUUAGAGCCCACCUGGAUAAUCCAAGAUAAGUGCUUCUUCUCAAGAUCUUGAAUUUAAUCACAUCUUUUGCCAUAAAAGUUCCACAAAUGAACUACCAUUUCUAAUAUGGAUUUGCUAAAGACAUAAAGAUCGCCAGUACAAGUGAGGCUUCACUCCCAACCUCCAGAGGGUUCCAGCUGCAUACGGUCCUGGUAGAGGAGGUAGCAGUAGCAUGUCCACGGCCCUCCCGAUGUGUUCGUGGCACCCACAUUCUCCUCCAGGCAAUGGUUUAGAUGGUACC